Molecule: transfer RNA, 63 nt
Filed under: Ophiacantha linea
Lineage: Eukaryota; Metazoa; Echinodermata; Ophiuroidea; Amphilepidida; Ophiacanthidae
Description: tRNA-Cys
Source: RNAcentral
AGUUUUAUAGUGUAUAAAGCACACUUGGUUGCAAACUAAUUAGAGAUAUAAUAUCUAAAACUU